This 436-nucleotide ribosomal RNA is filed under the name uncultured bacterium. RNAcentral describes it as "bacterial SSU rRNA". It matches the Rfam family "Bacterial small subunit ribosomal RNA", at positions 335 to 762 of the family's 1533-position model. The record is from RNAcentral.
ACUCCUACGGGAGGCAGCAGUGGGGAAUAUUGCACAAUGGGGGAAACCCUGAUGCAGCCAUGCCGCGUGUGUGAAGAAGGCCUUCGGGUUGUAAAGCACUUUCAGUCGUGAGGAAGGGUAGUGUAGUUAAUACCUGCAAUCUGUGACGUUAGCGACAGAAGAAGCACCGGCUAACUCCGUGCCAGCAGCCGCGGUAAUACGGAGGGUGCAAGCGUUAAUCGGAAUUACUGGGCGUAAAGCGUGCGCAGGCGGUCUGUUAAGCGAGAUGUGAAAGCCCCGGGCUCAACCUGGGAACUGCAUUUCGAACUGGCAGACUAGAGUCUUGUAGAGGGGGGUAGAAUUCCAGGUGUAGCGGUGAAAUGCGUAGAGAUCUGGAGGAAUACCGGUGGCGAAGGCGGCCCCCUGGACAAAGACUGACGCUCAGGCACGAAAGCGU